Pongo pygmaeus (Bornean orangutan) is the source of this 2679-nucleotide RNA transcript. It is a transcript of the gene named ATP binding cassette subfamily D member 4, with no coding region annotated. Lineage: Eukaryota; Metazoa; Chordata; Mammalia; Primates; Hominidae. The record is from RefSeq and is a predicted model, not a curated record. The transcript is spliced from 16 exons.
CCUCGGACUCUGCCGGGUAGUGAACUCGGGGCCGCCGGGCUCCAGAGUCCCUCGGGUCUCAGGUCAUGGCGAUCCCGGGGCCCGCGCCCGGAGCUGGCGCCAGAGACAGGGUUUUGCCAUGAUGCCCAGGCUGGUCUCGAACUCCUGGGCUCAAGUGAUCCACCCGCCUCGGCCUCCCAAAGUGCUGGGAUUACAGAGGCCCAGGUUAGAUCUGCAAUUUCUCCAGCGGUUCCUGCAGAUACUGAAGGUUUUGUUUCCUUCUUGGUCGUCACAGAAUGCCUUGAUGUUCCUGACCCUUUUGUGCCUGACCCUCCUGGAGCAAUUUGUGAUCUACCGGGUUGGCUUGAUCCCCAGUCAGUACUAUGGGGUCCUGGGAAACAAAGACUUGGAAGGGUUUAAGACUCUGACAUUCCUGGCUGUCAUGCUCAUUGUUCUGAACUCCACGCUGAAGAGCUUUGAUCAGUUCACCUGCAACCUGCUGUAUGUGAGCUGGAGGAAGGACCUCACUGAGCACCUCCACCGCCUCUACUUCCGGGGCCGUGUGUACUACACCCUCAACGUGCUGCGGGAUGACAUCGAUAACCCGGACCAGCGCAUCAGCCAGGAUGUGGAGCGAUUCUGCCGGCAGCUCAGCAGCAUGGCCAGCAAGCUGAUCAUCUCCCCGUUCACCCUCGUCUACUACACUUACCAGUGCUUCCAAAGCACAGGCUGGCUCGGGCCUGUGAGCAUCUUCGGGUAUUUCAUCUUGGGGACCAUGGUGAACAAAACUUUGAUGGGCCCCAUUGUGACGAAGCUGGUGCAUCAGGAGAAGCUGGAGGGAGAUUUUAGGUUCAAGCACAUGCAGAUUCGGGUGAAUGCGGAGCCUGCUGCUUUCUACAGAGCUGGGCAUGUGGAGCACAUGAGGACAGACCGCAGGCUGCAGAGACUCCUUCAGACCCAGAGGGAGCUGAUGUCCAAAGAGCUCUGGCUAUACAUCGGCAUCAACACCUUUGACUAUCUGGGCAGCAUCCUGAGUUACGUUGUCAUCGCAAUCCCCAUUUUUAGCGGGGUCUAUGGAGACCUGAGUCCCGCAGAGCUUAGCACCCUGGUCAGCAAGAAUGCCUUUGUGUGCAUCUACCUCAUCAGCUGCUUCACCCAGCUCAUCGACCUGUCCACGACGCUCUCGGAUGUGGCUGGCUACACGCACAGAAUUGGGCAGCUUCAGGAGACGCUUCUGGACAUGUCCCUGAAGUCGCAGGACUGCGAGAUCCUGGGCGAGAGCGAGUGGGGCUUGGACACAGCCCCACGGUGGCCAGCGGCAGAGCCAGCAGACACAGCGUUUCUCCUUGAGCGGGUCUCCAUCUCUGCCCCCUCCUCUGACAAACCCCUCAUUAAGGAUCUGAGCCUAAAGAUCUCUGACGGACAGAGCCUGCUCAUCACAGGCAACACAGGCACUGGCAAGACCUCCUUGCUCCGGGUUCUGGGCGGCCUCUGGACGAGUACACGGGGUGAUAUAUCCCCUGAAGGAGGUCUACCCCGACUCAGGAGAGACGCCCGUUGGGACAAGGAAAGUGAUGCCUUCCUUCACCUACCCCUUCCCUUAUCAAGGGCUGCAACCUGUGGUUUCAAAGCCUUCGCCCAGCAUUCUGGGGCCCCCACCCCUGCCAUCCAUGAUGUGCCCUGUCUAUUCUUUUUUUUUUUUUUUUUUUUUUUUUUGAGAUGGAGUUUCACUCUGUCACCCAGACUGGAGUGCAGUGGUGUGAUCUCGGCUCACCGCAACCUCCACCUCCCAGGUUCAAGGAAUUCCCCUGCCUCAGCCUCUUACGUAGCUGGGACUACAGGUGCAUGCCACAACGCCUGCCUAAUUUUUGUAUAUUUAGUAGAGACAGGGUUUCACCAUGUUGGCCAGGGUGGUCUCCAUCUCCUGACCUUGUGAUCCACCCGCCUCAGCCUCCCAAGGUGCUGGGAUUACAGGCGUGAGCCACUGUGCCUAGCCUUGCGCUGUCUAUUUUGACCAGCCAGGAGGCUCUGGCUUUUUGCAGACGGCUUCUCUGUUGUGCAGGUUCUGCUGAUGAUGAGAGGAUCUUGAGGUUCUUGGAAUUAGCAGGACUGGUAAGUGGGGGCAGGGACCCUCAGGACCCGAGCCCACCUGGGAGCACCAGCUACAGGUAGGCAGGUGCUGGCCCUGCUGUGCCUGGGCCCAGGACUGGAAGUCUGAACCUGGGGUGGAGAAUGGGAGUAUCAGUUGACAGUGUGUGCUGUUGGCCAGGUUUAGGCACGAAGGGGGUAGUGCUCUCAUUGGAGAAUUUUAAAAUAAAAAUAGGAUUGACGAAGGCAGUUUGCUUUUUACUGUCACCAUGCUCCAGCAAGUCUAAACAGUGUCAUUGGUAGAAUAUUCCUCUCUGCCUGGGGCAGACUGUCCCACACAGUCCCCCACCUUGGUAUGCCACUGGGGCAUAUAUUUGUCUUAGAGGUUUGUGUGUGUGCUGGGGAGUGAGGGAGGUUCCCCAUGAUGGCAGGUAGCAGGGCUGGCCAUUUCAUGGACAUCGUGCCCUCUGGGUCUGUUACAGUCCAACUUGGUGGCAAGGACAGAGGGUCUGGACCAGCAGGUGGACUGGAACUGGUAUGAUGUUCUUUCCCCGGGGGAGAUGCAACGGCUCUCCUUUGCCCGACUCUUCUACCUGCAGCCGAAGUACGCAG